Molecule: transfer RNA, 22 nt
Filed under: Senna alata (candle bush)
Lineage: Eukaryota; Viridiplantae; Streptophyta; Magnoliopsida; Fabales; Fabaceae
Description: partial tRNA-His
Source: RNAcentral
GCGGAUGUAGCCAAGUGGUCCA